GGAAGACGUGGCCGGCGGAGGAGGAGCCGCCGGGUUUAGGCCCCUCCCUUCCAGACUAAACCCCGUCCCCUCUCCGCUUCUCCCACCGAAAUCCCCUCCCUCCCUGGAUCGCCUUUUCUUCCUCCCUCCUUCUCGACUGGAAUGCUGAUGCCCAUCAGUCGCUCGCUCGCCCUCUUUUCUUCCCUUCUUGCUCCUCUUCCCCCCUCCUCUCCUGUAUUUCUCCUCCCCCGCCUUUCUCCACCAGACACUGCUGUAAUCGGAGCUCUGCCAAAGAGGAAGGCCUAUCUCCACCCCCACCCCCCCUUCUAGCCAAGAGGCUACUGGUGGACUAGAAAUGGUGGUGGCGUAGGGUGCUGCUGGACCUAGCCUAAGUGGUUUUCUUUGUCAGAGUUGGAGGGCAGGAAUAAACUUUGCAAGCCAUCAGGAAGCCCCUACUGCUGCUGCUGGCUCAUUGAUAUGAUGUUGUCAUAGAACUGCAGUACUGCAGUCAGUGGAAAUAGGCAGGAAGUCUGUCUGGCUUCUUUGGGAUGUCUGCUGAGUUUCAUUUACAGACUCUAUUUCAUCUUCUUGCUGCUGUAUGUAUGACCACAGAGUCAUUGUAGGAGUCAUCAUAUCAUUCCAUUUGUUUGAAUUUUUAUAGCAUUCUGAUGUCAAACUAUUUUCCAAUUAAUUUUGCCAAGGAAUAAAACUCAUGAUUGUAGGUUCUACAAACAGUUUGCUUAAAAGGAAAAUGCCAUAAUGCCAAAAUAGCAAUCCUCUACACUGGGGAGUAAGUCCCACUGAAUGUAUUACAUCUGCCUUCUGAGUAAUCUUACAUAAAGACAUGAAUAACAAUAAUCCUAGCCACAAUUACUUAAGAGUAAACUCUAAUGAAAUAAGGAUGACUAGCUUAUACAUAAACAUGUUUUGGGUUCAGCUGUUCAACCAAAUUCAUUCAUGUUGAUUUCAAUGUGCUUGCAUCUUUACAUUUAUCUAGAAGUAAUAUUUGUGUAACUUCUGAUUGAAUUCUUUUAUGAUGUUCGGCUAAACUUGCAUGAGUCCAUUCACUUCAGAGUCCAUUCACCUAACUAGUUUGUGAAUGAAACUUUUAAUUCCUUUUUUUUAAAAAAAAUAACAAAAUGCAUGGCAAACAUGUCUAUUUUACUGGUUGAAUAAAGAAUGCAAGUGUACUGAA
Sphaerodactylus townsendi is the source of this 1174-nucleotide long non-coding RNA. RefSeq lists it as uncharacterized. Lineage: Eukaryota; Metazoa; Chordata; Lepidosauria; Squamata; Sphaerodactylidae. The transcript is spliced from 2 exons. The record is from RefSeq and is a predicted model, not a curated record.